AUUGAACGCUGGCGGCAGGCCUAACACAUGCAAGUCGAGCGGAGCGGCGGACGGGUGAGUAAUGCCUAGGAAUCUGCCUGGUAGUGGGGGAUAACGUCCGGAAACGGGCGCUAAUACCGCAUACUAUCAGAUGAGCCUAGGUCGGAUUAGCUAGUUGGUGGGGUAAAGGCCUACCAAGGCGACGAUCCGUAACUGGUCUGAGAGGAUGAUCAGUCACACUGGAACUGAGACACGGUCCAGACUCAUACGUGAGGCGGGGGUGGGGAGUAGUGGACAAUGGGCGAAAGCCUGAUCCAACCAUGCCGCGUGGGUGAAGAAGGUCUUCGUAUGGUAAAGCUCUUUAAGUUGGGAGGCGUUACCAACAGAAUAAGCACCGGCUAACUUCGUGCCAGCAGCCGCGGUAAUAC
Molecule: ribosomal RNA, 407 nt
Filed under: uncultured bacterium
Lineage: Bacteria
Description: partial 16S ribosomal RNA
Rfam family: Bacterial small subunit ribosomal RNA
Source: RNAcentral